AGCUCAUGAUUGGGUAUAAAGCGUGCGUAGGUGGGUUUGUAAGUCAGUGGUGAAAUCUCCGAGCUUAACUCGGAAACUGCCAUUGAUACUAUAGAUCUUGAAUUAUCUGGAGGUAAGCGGAAUAUGUCAUGUAGCGGUGAAAUGCUUAGAUAUGACAUAGAACACCAAUUGCGAAGGCAGCUUACUACGGAUACAUUGACACUGAGGCACGAAAGCGUGGGGAUCAAACAGGAUUAGAUACCCUGGUAGUCCACGCCCUAAACGAUGGAUACUCGACAUCAGCGAUACACUGUUGGUGUCUGAGCGAAAGCAUUAAGUAUCCCACCUGGGAAGUACGACCGCAAGGUUGAAACUCAAAAGAAUUGACGG
This 369-nucleotide ribosomal RNA is filed under the name uncultured Ferruginibacter sp. Its description in RNAcentral is "bacterial SSU rRNA". It matches the Rfam family "Bacterial small subunit ribosomal RNA", at positions 542 to 916 of the family's 1533-position model. The record is from RNAcentral. Lineage: Bacteria; Pseudomonadati; Bacteroidota; Chitinophagia; Chitinophagales; Chitinophagaceae.